UUUGAAGGAUCUGCCGGUAUCCCUCCGCUGUGACAGUGACAUAAGCUAAUCAUUGUGAGCCUUGGGGCCAUCCUAUGCACAGAUCUGAAGAUGGUGAUGGGGUGUAUGGCAGAAACUUUUCCAGGACCUGUCCACCUCAAUGUUCAGAAUGUCUGCCUAGGGGUUCAAUUCAUGGGGCCUGCCAUUCAUUUGGGGUAAAAUCUAUGCUGUCUGAAACAUUCUGUGUUUCAUGGAACUAGGGUUGUUUCCUUGUAGAACUAUUUUAAUUGCCGCUGCCCGGGACUGGAGAAAUGGCUCAGUGGUCAAGGGUUUCUGUUGUUCUUGCAGAGGACCUAAAUUCAGUUCCCAGCACUCCCAUGGCAGAUUUAACCAUCUGGACCUAUGGUUCCAGUGGGUCUAGGGUCCCUUACGGCCUCCACAGCAGCAGGCGGGCACUCAGUGCACUCAGACACAUUCAGGCAAAACACUCAUGCAUGUAUAAGAAAAAUAAAGAUAUCUUAGAAAAGGAGUAUGGGAGUUGGGGAUUUAGCUCAGUGGUAGAGCGCUUGCCUAGGAAGCGCAAGGCCCUGGGUUCGGUCCCCAGCUCCGAAAAAAAGAACC
RNAcentral lists this long non-coding RNA (600 nucleotides) under Rattus norvegicus (Norway rat). Its description in RNAcentral is "long non-coding RNA NONRATT027056". The stretch from base 520 to 588 matches the Rfam family "tRNA". The record is from RNAcentral. Lineage: Eukaryota; Metazoa; Chordata; Mammalia; Rodentia; Muridae.